Non-coding RNA from Pelobates cultripes (western spadefoot toad), 226 nucleotides. NCBI's taxonomy places the organism in Eukaryota, Metazoa, Chordata, Amphibia, Anura, Pelobatidae. The record is from the annotation of a GenBank genome assembly.
CCUGACCCGCUCCGAGUAAGCGCGCGGGGGGAACGGAUUAGUUCCCCGCACCGGGGCACCAUGGGUCAUGUGUACGCCACUGGUUGUAACCAUUGUUGGACUGGUUAAUGUCUAAUUGUUUGUGGGUGUCUCCCUUGCAUGGGAGCACCACAUAAAAGGAGAGUACCUGUCAUUAAACCUCAGUUCUACUUUACCCUUCAAAACGUAGCUUUGUCUCGUUCUUGAA